RNAcentral lists this ribosomal RNA (265 nucleotides) under uncultured bacterium. Its description in RNAcentral is "partial 16S ribosomal RNA". It matches the Rfam family "Bacterial small subunit ribosomal RNA", at positions 793 to 1055 of the family's 1533-position model. The record is from RNAcentral.
GUCCACGCCGUAAACGAUGGGUACUAGGCGUCUGGGGGAGCGACCCCCUGGGUGCCGGCGCUAACGCAUGAAGUACCCCGCCUGGGGAGUACGGCCGCAAGGCUGAAACUCAAAGGAAUUGACGGGGGCCCGCACAAGCGGUGGAGCAUGUGGUUUAAUUCGACGCAACGCGAAGAACCUUACCUGGGUUUGACAUGCUGGAGAAAGCUCGCAGAAACGUGAGCCCCUCUUCGGAGUUCCAGCACAGAUGCUGCAUGGCUGUCGU